This 274-nucleotide ribosomal RNA is filed under the name uncultured bacterium. Its description in RNAcentral is "partial 16S ribosomal RNA". It matches the Rfam family "Bacterial small subunit ribosomal RNA", at positions 523 to 796 of the family's 1533-position model. The record is from RNAcentral.
CUACGGAGGGUGCAAGCGUUAUUCGGAAUCACUGGGCGUAAAGGACGCGUAGGCGGGUUGGCAAGUCAGAUGUGAAAUCCUACAGCUUAACUGUAGAACUGCAUUUGAAACUGCUAACCUAGAGUAUGUGAGGGGGAGAUGGAAUUAGUGGUGUAGGGAUAAAAUCCGUAGAUAUCACUAGGAAUACCGAAAGCGAAGGCGAUCUCCUGGAACAUAACUGACGCUAAGGCGUGAAAGCGUGGGGAGCAAACAGCAUUAGAUACCCUAGUAGUCC